GACGAACGCUGGCGGCGUGCCUAAUACAUGCAAGUAGAACGCUGAAGAGAGGAGCUUGCUCUUCUUGGAUGAGUUGCGCACGGGUGAGUAACGCGUAGGUAACCUGCCUGGUAGCGGGGGAUAAAUAUUGGAAACGAUAGCUCAUACCGCAUGAAAUUGCUUAUCGCAUGAUGAUUGAUUGAAAGAUGCAAUUGCAUCACUAGCAGAUGGACCUGCGUUGUAUUAGCUAGUUGGUGAGGUAACGGCUCACCAAGGCGGCGAUACAUAGCCGACCUGAGAGGGUGGUCGGCCACCACAGGAGGGAGACACGGCCCAUAAGCCUACGAGAGGCAGCAGUAGGGAAGCUUCGGCAAUGGGGGGAACCAUGACCGAGCAGCGCCGCGUGAGGGAAGAAGGUGUUCGGAUCGUAAAGCUCUGCUGUAAGAGAAGAACGGGUGUGAGAGUGGAAAGUGCACGUUGGGACGGAAUCGGACCAGAAAGGCACGGCUAACUACUU
RNAcentral lists this ribosomal RNA (496 nucleotides) under uncultured bacterium. Its description in RNAcentral is "partial 16S ribosomal RNA". It matches the Rfam family "Bacterial small subunit ribosomal RNA", at positions 28 to 506 of the family's 1533-position model. The record is from RNAcentral.